AACCCGUAGAUUCGAAUUUGUGUU
Molecule: microRNA, 24 nt
Filed under: Ascaris suum (pig roundworm)
Lineage: Eukaryota; Metazoa; Nematoda; Chromadorea; Rhabditida; Ascarididae
Description: asu-miR-100b-5p
Gene: asu-miR-100b-5p
Source: miRBase by way of RNAcentral